AUAACCAUUAACAGAAAAUCUAUACCUUCUAAAACCAUUCGAGAUUUAUUGCGCCUUCUUCUCUUUCUUUCUUCAUUCAGCAGAAUAGUAUCCCAUUUCUUGUCUCUGUUGUUUCUUUUUCUAAUUCAAUAAGAAAUAGAAAAUAUGGUGGCUUUAGUCUCCCAGGAAAAUGUUGUAGCUCUGGUUUCUCGUACGGGUAGACAUUUGCAGCGCUACACUAAAGCUGGUUGUCGUCAAGUUGUUGGCUGCAUACCAUAUAAAUACAAAAAUGGGAAACGAGAUUUCUUGGACAUUGAAGAAGCGUUAGAAGUUCUUGUUAUCAGUUCCCAGAAAGGAAAAGGAUUGUUGUUUCCCAAGGGAGGUUGGGAAUUAGAUGAA
RNAcentral lists this unclassified non-coding RNA (378 nucleotides) under Hevea brasiliensis (rubber tree). The record is from RNAcentral. Lineage: Eukaryota; Viridiplantae; Streptophyta; Magnoliopsida; Malpighiales; Euphorbiaceae.